This 429-nucleotide ribosomal RNA is filed under the name uncultured archaeon. RNAcentral's name for it is "bacterial SSU rRNA". It matches the Rfam family "Archaeal small subunit ribosomal RNA", at positions 474 to 903 of the family's 1478-position model. The record is from RNAcentral.
UACCAGCUCUCCGAGUGGUGUGGAUGUUUAUUGGGCCUAAAGCAUCCGUAGCUGGCUGGACAAGUCCCCUGUUAAAUCCACCGAUUUAAUCGUUGGUGUGCGGGGGAUACUGUUCGGCUAGGGGACGGGAGAGGCAGACGGUAUUUUCGGGGUAGGGGUGAAAUCCUAUAAUCCCGGGAAGACCACCAGUGGCGAAGGCUGUCUGCUAGAACGCGCCCGACGGUGAGGGAUGAAAGCUGGGGGAGCGAACCGGAUUAGAUACCCGGGUAGUCCCAGCUGUAAACGAUGCAGGCUAGGUGUUUGGACGGCCACGUGCCGUUCUAGUGCCGCAGGGAAGCCGUUAAGCCUGCCGCCUGGGGAGUACGGCCGCAAGGCUGAAACUUAAAGGAAUUGGCGGGGGAGCACCACAGGGGGUGAAGCUUGCGGUUU